This 299-nucleotide long non-coding RNA is filed under the name Lathyrus oleraceus (garden pea). Its description in RNAcentral is "Pisum sativum (pea) long non-coding RNA (PSAT_LNC030245)". The record is from RNAcentral. Lineage: Eukaryota; Viridiplantae; Streptophyta; Magnoliopsida; Fabales; Fabaceae.
UUUUUUCAAAACACGUGGGCUUCGCCUAGCGAGCAUGACAGCUCAUGAACAAACCUUUGCUCCUUCAAGAUUAACGUUUUGACCGACGAAUAGACCCCUGUUGGAAGUAACUCAAGUCUUUCCCUUGUGUUGACUGAUAAUCUAAAUAGAGCCCACAAAGUGUCCUGGAUGAUGUUCAAGCUUCUUGGAUCCGAUUCCGAUUGCCAUAAUGAAAUGCAAAUGCUAAAUGACCUAAAAAAUGAAUGCAUGCAUGAGGUGUAAAGCGUAUGCUUCCAGGAAAAAUGAAGGGUAAAUUUUGG